GAUCGUAGCUCAGCUGGGAGAGCGCUGCGUUCGCAACGCAGAGGUCAUGGGUUCGAAUCCCACCGGUUCC
RNAcentral lists this transfer RNA (70 nucleotides) under bovine gut metagenome. It matches the Rfam family "tRNA". From Rfam's summary of the family: Transfer RNA (tRNA) molecules are approximately 80 nucleotides in length. The record is from RNAcentral.